GCACAAGCAGUGGAGUAUGUGGUUUAAUUCGACGCAACGCGAAGAACCUUACCAAGUCUUGACAUCCCUUGACAGGCAUAGAAAUGUGUUUUCUCUUCGGAGCAAGGAGACAGGUGGUGCAUGGUUGUCGUCAGCUCGUGUCGUGAGAUGUUGGGUUAAGUCCCGCAACGAGCGCAACCCUUAUGGUCAGUUACUACGCAAGAGGACUCUGGCCAGACUGCCGUUGACAAAA
This 232-nucleotide ribosomal RNA is filed under the name uncultured bacterium. RNAcentral describes it as "partial 16S ribosomal RNA". It matches the Rfam family "Bacterial small subunit ribosomal RNA", at positions 923 to 1163 of the family's 1533-position model. The record is from RNAcentral.